GCUUAGAGAGGGGUCAAUGUCCUAUCAGCUAGUUGGUAAGGUAAUGGCUUACCAAGGCUAAGACGGGUAGCCGGCCUGAGAGGGUGGUCGGCCACACUGGGACUGAGACGCUGCCCAGACUCCUACGGGAGGCUGCAGUCGAGAAUCUUUCGCAGUGCCCGAAAGGGUGACGAAGCGACGCCGCGUGUGGGAAGAAGGCCUUCGGGUUGUAAACCACUGUCGGGAGUUAAGAAAUGUAAGGGUGUUAAUAGCAUCCUUACUUGACUAAGGCUCCGGAGGAAGCCACGGCUAACUCUGUGCCAGCAGCCGCGGUAAUACAGAGGCGGCAAGCGUUGUUCGGAAUUAUUGGGCGUAAAGAGCACGUAGGCGGCUUUGUAAGUCAGUUGUGAAAGCCUUCCGCUUAACGGAAGAACAGCAUCUGAUACUGCAAGGCUAGAGUGCGGAAGGG
RNAcentral lists this ribosomal RNA (448 nucleotides) under uncultured Planctomycetota bacterium. RNAcentral's name for it is "bacterial SSU rRNA". It matches the Rfam family "Bacterial small subunit ribosomal RNA", at positions 217 to 656 of the family's 1533-position model. Lineage: Bacteria; Pseudomonadati; Planctomycetota. The record is from RNAcentral.